This 301-nucleotide ribosomal RNA is filed under the name uncultured bacterium. RNAcentral describes it as "partial 16S ribosomal RNA". It matches the Rfam family "Bacterial small subunit ribosomal RNA", at positions 509 to 807 of the family's 1533-position model. The record is from RNAcentral.
CAGCCGCCACGGUAAUACGAAGGGUGCAAGCGUUAAUCGGAAUUACUGGGCGUAAAGCGUGCGUAGGCGGUUUGUUAAGUCUGUUGUGAAAUCCCCGGGCUCAACCUGGGAAUGGCAAUGGAUACUGGCAAGCUAGAGUGUGUCAGAGGAUGGUGGAAUUCCGCGUGUAGCAGUGAAAUGCGUAGAUAUGCGGAGGAACACCGAUGGCGAAGGCAGCCCCCUGGGCCAACACUGACGCUCAUGUACGAAAGCGUGGGGAGCAAACAGGAUUAGAUACCCGCGUAGUCCCUGUCUCUUAUAC